CAAGUCUUGACAUCUGGGUGACAGGAGGGCAAUGCCUCUUUCUCUUCGGAGCACCCAAGACAGGUGGUGCAUGGUUGUCGUCAGCUCGUGUCGUGAGAUGUUGGGUUAAGUCCCGCAACGAGCGCAACCCUUAUCUUCAGUAGCCAGCGGAAGAAGCCGGGCACUCUGGAGAGACUGCCAGGGACAACCUGGAGGAAGGUGGGGAUGACGUCAAAUCAUCAUGCCCCUUAUGACUUGGGCUACACACGUGCUACAAUGGCGUAAACAAAGGGAGGCGAGCGAGCGAUCGUAAGCAAAUCUCAAAAAUAACGUCUCAGUUCGGAUCGUAGUCUGCAACUCGACUACGUGAAGCUGGAAUCGCUAGUAAUCGCGAAUCAGCAUGUCGCGGUGAAUACGUUCCGC
RNAcentral lists this ribosomal RNA (402 nucleotides) under uncultured bacterium. Its description in RNAcentral is "bacterial SSU rRNA". It matches the Rfam family "Bacterial small subunit ribosomal RNA", at positions 975 to 1374 of the family's 1533-position model. The record is from RNAcentral.